AUGACGCUAAUCAGCUGGAACUGUCGAGGAAUUGGGCAGCCUCGUACAGUUCGUGAGCUUGUGGGCCUAGUGCACACACACAAGCCUAAGUUAGUUUUUCUUUCAGAGACUCGGAAAAGCGAUGAGUACGUUAAUAAACUGAAAUGGAGGCUGGGCCUCAGGCACUGUAUUGUGCAACCCGGCAUAGGAAAGAGUGCCGGGAUUGCUCUGUUCUAUGAUGAGGGUGUUGAAAUAAAG
Molecule: ribosomal RNA, 237 nt
Filed under: Triticum aestivum (bread wheat)
Lineage: Eukaryota; Viridiplantae; Streptophyta; Magnoliopsida; Poales; Poaceae
Description: partial small subunit ribosomal RNA
Source: RNAcentral